UCCUCGGUAGCUCAAUGGUAGAGCAUCCGGCUGUUAACCGGAGGGUUGCAGGUUCGAAUCCUGCCCGGGGAG
RNAcentral lists this transfer RNA (72 nucleotides) under Thermacetogenium phaeum DSM 12270. It matches the Rfam family "tRNA". Rfam says of the family: Transfer RNA (tRNA) molecules are approximately 80 nucleotides in length. Their secondary structure includes four short double-helical elements and three loops (D, anti-codon, and T loops). The record is from Rfam by way of RNAcentral. Lineage: Bacteria; Bacillati; Bacillota; Clostridia; Thermoanaerobacterales; Thermoanaerobacteraceae.